Molecule: transfer RNA, 71 nt
Filed under: Verrucomicrobiia bacterium
Lineage: Bacteria; Pseudomonadati; Verrucomicrobiota; Verrucomicrobiia
Also listed under: 1 other name
Description: tRNA-Gly
Rfam family: tRNA
About the family: Transfer RNA (tRNA) molecules are approximately 80 nucleotides in length. Their secondary structure includes four short double-helical elements and three loops (D, anti-codon, and T loops).
Source: RNAcentral
GCGGGCGUAGUUUAGUGGUAGAACGUGGGCUUCCCAAGCCUGAGGUGAGAGUUCGAUUCUCUUCGCCCGCA